Molecule: ribosomal RNA, 253 nt
Filed under: uncultured bacterium
Lineage: Bacteria
Description: partial 16S ribosomal RNA
Rfam family: Bacterial small subunit ribosomal RNA
Source: RNAcentral
AACGUAGGAGCCAAGCGUUAUCCGAAUUCACUGGGCGUAAAGCGCGUGCAGGCGGUCUGGUAAGUUGGAUGUGAAAUCUCCUGGCUCAACUGGGAGGGGCCGUUCAAUACUGUCAGACUAGAGGGCGACAGAGGGAGGUGGAAUUCCGGGUGUAGUGGUGAAAUGCGUAGAUAUCCGGAGGAACACCAGAGGCGAAGGCGACCUCCUGGGUCGUACCUGACGCUCAGACGCGAAAGCUAGGGGAGCGAACGGG